AACGAACGCUGGCGGCAGGCUUAACACAUGCAAGUCGAGCGCCUCGCAAGAGGAGCGGCAGACGGGUGAGUAACGCGUGGGAACGUACCCUUAUCUUCGGAAUAGCUCUGGGAAACUGGAAGUAAUACCGAAUGUGCCCUUAGGGGGAAAGAUUUAUCGGAUAAGGAUCGGCCCGCGUUGGAUUAGCUAGUUGGUGGGGUAAAGGCCUACCAAGGCGACGAUCCAUAGCUGGUCUGAGAGGAUGAUCAGCCACAUUGGGACUGAGACACGGCCCAAACUCCUACGGGAGGCAGCAGUGGGGAAUAUUGGACAAUGGGCGCAAGCCCGAUCCAGCCAUGCCGCGUGAGUGAUGAAGGCCUUAGGGUUGUAAAGCUCUUUCACCGGAGAAGAUAAUGACGGUAUCCGGAGAAGAAGCCCCGGCUAACUUCGUG
RNAcentral lists this ribosomal RNA (431 nucleotides) under uncultured bacterium. RNAcentral describes it as "partial 16S ribosomal RNA". It matches the Rfam family "Bacterial small subunit ribosomal RNA", at positions 29 to 507 of the family's 1533-position model. The record is from RNAcentral.